This 428-nucleotide ribosomal RNA is filed under the name uncultured Bacillus sp. RNAcentral describes it as "bacterial SSU rRNA". It matches the Rfam family "Bacterial small subunit ribosomal RNA", at positions 355 to 774 of the family's 1533-position model. The record is from RNAcentral. Lineage: Bacteria; Bacillati; Bacillota; Bacilli; Caryophanales; Bacillaceae.
UAGGGAAUCUUCCGCAAUGGACGAAAGUCUGACGGAGCAACGCCGCGUGAGCGAAGAAGGUCUUCGGAUCGUAAAGCUCUGUUGUCAGGGAAGAACAAGUACCGUUCGAUAAGGGCGGUACCUUGACGGUACCUGUCGAGAAAGCCACGGCUAACUACGUGCCAGCAGCCGCGGUAAUACGUAGGUGGCAAGCGUUGUCCGGAAUCAUUGGGCGUAAAGCGCGCGCAGGCGGUCCUUUAAGUCUGAUGUGAAAUCUUGCGGCUCAACCGUAAGCGGUCAUUGGAAACUGGGGGACUUGAGUGCAGGAGAGGAAAGCGGAAUUCCAUGUGUAGCGGUGAAAUGCGUAGAGAUAUGGAGGAACACCAGUGGCGAAGGCGGCUUUCUGGCCUGUAACUGACGCUGAGGCGCGAAAGCGUGGGGAGCAAACA